AACGAACGCUGGCGGCAUGCCUAACACAUGCAAGUCGAACGAGACCUUCGGGUCUAGUGGCGCACGGGUGCGUAACGCGUGGGAACCUGCCCUUAGGUUCGGAAUAACUCCCCGUAGGGGGUGCUAAUACCGGAUAAUGUCUUCGGACCAAAGAUUUAGCGACUGUGGUUGGGCCCGCGUUCGAUUAGCUAGUUGGUGAGGUAGAAGCCAACCAAGGCGACGUUGGGUAGCUGGUCUGAGAGGAUGAUCGGCCACACUGGGACUGAGAAAAGGCCCAGACUACUACGCGAGGCAGAAGUGGGGAAGAUUGCACAAUGGGCGGAAGCCUGAUGCAGCAACGCAGCGUGAGGGAAGACGGCAUUCGGGUUGUAAACCUCUUUUAGCAGGGAAGAAGCGAAAGUGACGGUACCUGCAGAAAAAGCGACGGCUAACUACGUG
Molecule: ribosomal RNA, 438 nt
Filed under: uncultured bacterium
Lineage: Bacteria
Description: partial 16S ribosomal RNA
Rfam family: Bacterial small subunit ribosomal RNA
Source: RNAcentral